Long non-coding RNA from Telopea speciosissima, 181 nucleotides. RefSeq lists it as uncharacterized. The record is from RefSeq and is a predicted model, not a curated record. Lineage: Eukaryota; Viridiplantae; Streptophyta; Magnoliopsida; Proteales; Proteaceae. The transcript has 4 exons.
UUUUUUUUUGAAUAAGGAAUUAUAUAUUUUUUUUUUAAUUAAUUACUUUUUGACAACAACAUUGCUAGACAAAUCCAAUGAUCCCUCAAUAGUUCAUAUUGACAUUGAAGAUCAUUAACAGAGACAAAAACCGCUAAUAAGUUCCUACCAUAUUCUUAACAGGAAGAUUGAUCAUUGGAAU